RNAcentral lists this ribosomal RNA (1486 nucleotides) under Lacticaseibacillus casei. RNAcentral's name for it is "bacterial SSU rRNA". It matches the Rfam family "Bacterial small subunit ribosomal RNA". The record is from RNAcentral. Lineage: Bacteria; Bacillati; Bacillota; Bacilli; Lactobacillales; Lactobacillaceae.
AACGCUGGCGGCGUGCCUAAUACAUGCAAGUCGAACGAGUUCUCGUUGAUGAUCGGUGCUUGCACCGAGAUUCAACAUGGAACGAGUGGCGGACGGGUGAGUAACACGUGGGUAACCUGCCCUUAAGUGGGGGAUAACAUUUGGAAACAGAUGCUAAUACCGCAUAGAUCCAAGAACCGCAUGGUUCUUGGCUGAAAGAUGGCGUAAGCUAUCGCUUUUGGAUGGACCCGCGGCGUAUUAGCUAGUUGGUGAGGUAAUGGCUCACCAAGGCGAUGAUACGUAGCCGAACUGAGAGGUUGAUCGGCCACAUUGGGACUGAGACACGGCCCAAACUCCUACGGGAGGCAGCAGUAGGGAAUCUUCCACAAUGGACGCAAGUCUGAUGGAGCAACGCCGCGUGAGUGAAGAAGGCUUUCGGGUCGUAAAACUCUGUUGUUGGAGAAGAAUGGUCGGCAGAGUAACUGUUGUCGGCGUGACGGUAUCCAACCAGAAAGCCACGGCUAACUACGUGCCAGCAGCCGCGGUAAUACGUAGGUGGCAAGCGUUAUCCGGAUUUAUUGGGCGUAAAGCGAGCGCAGGCGGUUUUUUAAGUCUGAUGUGAAAGCCCUCGGCUUAACCGAGGAAGCGCAUCGGAAACUGGGAAACUUGAGUGCAGAAGAGGACAGUGGAACUCCAUGUGUAGCGGUGAAAUGCGUAGAUAUAUGGAAGAACACCAGUGGCGAAGGCGGCUGUCUGGUCUGUAACUGACGCUGAGGCUCGAAAGCAUGGGUAGCGAACAGGAUUAGAUACCCUGGUAGUCCAUGCCGUAAACGAUGAAUGCUAGGUGUUGGAGGGUUUCCGCCCUUCAGUGCCGCAGCUAACGCAUUAAGCAUUCCGCCUGGGGAGUACGACCGCAAGGUUGAAACUCAAAGGAAUUGACGGGGGCCCGCACAAGCGGUGGAGCAUGUGGUUUAAUUCGAAGCAACGCGAAGAACCUUACCAGGUCUUGACAUCUUUUGAUCACCUGAGAGAUCAGGUUUCCCCUUCGGGGGCAAAAUGACAGGUGGUGCAUGGUUGUCGUCAGCUCGUGUCGUGAGAUGUUGGGUUAAGUCCCGCAACGAGCGCAACCCUUAUGACUAGUUGCCAGCAUUUAGUUGGGCACUCUAGUAAGACUGCCGGUGACAAACCGGAGGAAGGUGGGGAUGACGUCAAAUCAUCAUGCCCCUUAUGACCUGGGCUACACACGUGCUACAAUGGAUGGUACAACGAGUUGCGAGACCGCGAGGUCAAGCUAAUCUCUUAAAGCCAUUCUCAGUUCGGACUGUAGGCUGCAACUCGCCUACACGAAGUCGGAAUCGCUAGUAAUCGCGGAUCAGCACGCCGCGGUGAAUACGUUCCCGGGCCUUGUACACACCGCCCGUCACACCAUGAGAGUUUGUAACACCCGAAGCCGGUGGCGUAACCCUUUUAGGGAGCGAGCCGUCUAAGGUGGGACAAAUGAUUAGGG